UUAAGCUACUAAGAGCUUACGGUGGAUGCCUAGGCGCCAAGUGCCGAUGAAGGACGUGGGACACUGCGAUAAGCCUCGGGGAGCCGUGUACAGGCGUUGAUCCGGGGAUCUCCGAAUGGGGAAACCCGCCGUUGCGAUCCAACGGCAUCUCCUGGCUGAACCCAUAGGCCAGGAGAGGGGAACCUGGGGAACUGAAACAUCUAAGUACCCAGAGGAAAAGAGACCAUUCCCCUAGUAGUGGCGAGCGAACGGGGAACAGCCCAAACCGCAGCGGCUUGCCGUUGCGGGGUUGUAGGGCCUGACACAUGGGAGUGACAAAUCAUUCUGUUAGCAGAAAGGUGUGGGAAAGCCUACCAGAGAGGGUAAUAGUCCCGUAUGCGAAAACGGAAUGACUCCCGUCAGGUACCUGAGUACUGCCGGGCACGCUAAUCCGGCAGGAAGCUGGGGAGUCCACUCUCCAAGGCUAAAUACACUUGGCGACCGAUAGUGAACAAGUACCGUGAGGGAAAGGUGAAAAGUACCCCGGUGAGGGGAGUGAAAUAGAACCUGAAACCGUAAGCUUACAAACAGUCGAAGGGCUAAUGGUGGGUCUGUGCUCCGGUGAAAGCCGGGUGCGCGCCACUAUGCCUGACGGCGUGCCUCUUGGAGAAUGAGCCUGCGAGUUAAUCUCUGUGGCAAGGUUAAGGGAGUGACACCCGUAGCCGUAGCGAAAGCGAGUCUGAAUAGGGCGUAUAGUCGCAGGGAUUAGACACGAAACCGAGUGAGCUACCCAUGGCCAGGGUGAAGCGAGUCUAACCACUCGUGGAGGCCCGAACCCACUAAUGUUGCAAAAUUAGGGGAUGAGCUGUGGGUAGAGGUGAUAUGCCAAACGAACUCGGAGAUAGCUUGUUCUCCCCGAAAUAGCUUUAGGGCUAGCGUCAUGCGUUCAGUAUCGGAGGUAGAGCACUGGAUGGGCUAGGGGGCUUACUGCUUACCGAACCCAACCAAACUCCGAAUGCCGAUACUCCACAGCAUGGCAGUCGGACUACGGGAGAUGAGUUUCGUGGUCGAAAGGGAAACAGCCCAGACCAUCGGCUAAGGUCCCCAAGUCCAGACUAAGUGGGAAACGAGGUGGGAUUGCACGGACAACCAGGAGGUUGGCUUAGAAGCAGCCAUCCUUUAAAGAGUGCGUAAUAGCUCACUGGUCAAGUGAUCCUGCGCGGAAAACUCAACGGGGCUAAGUCUGGCACCGAAGCCAUGGGUCUCAGUCUUUGACUGGGGCGGUAGGGGAGCGUUCUGCCGACGGGGAAGGUCGACCGAAAGGACGGCUCGAGUUGGCAGAAGUGAGAAUGCAGGCAUGAGUAGCGUAAAACACGUGAGAACCGUGUUCGCCGUAAGUCUAAGGUUUCCGACGCCAGGUCAAUCCGCGUCGGGUUAGUCGGGCCUUAGCCGAGGCCGAAAGGCGUAGGUGAUGGACAUCCGGUCAACAUUCCGGAACCAUCUGGAUGGAGCGAUGUGGGGACGCAGCGAGGUAGACCAGCCCACGAUUGGUCGUGUGGGUGUAAGCGUGUAGGCGUUGAGGCUUGUAGGGAAAUCCGCAAGCCGAGCUGAGGCGCAAAUGCGAGCCCCUGAGGCGGAAGUGGUUAAGCCUUGCUGCCGAGAAAAGCCACUAAGCGUUGAAGUCCAGAUGCCCGUACCGCAAACCGACACUGGUAGACGGGUAGAAUAUACCAAGGCGAACGGGAGAACCUUCGUCAAGGAACUAGGCAAAUUAGCCCCGUAACUUCGGGAGAAGGGGUGCCUCUCUUUGUGAAACCUCUCGCAGGUGGAGCAGAGGGGGGCCGCAGUGAAUGGGCUCUAGUGACUGGUUAACAAAACCACAGGUCUCUGCAAAGCCGUAAGGCGAUGUAUAGGGGCUGACACCUGCCCAGUGCCGGAAGGUUAAGGGGAGGGGUUAGCGCAAGCGAAGCUCUGAACCGAAGCCCCGGUGAACGGCGGCCGUAACUAUAACGGUCCUAAGGUAGCGAAAUUCCUUGUCGGGUAAGUGAUCAACUUGCCCCAUCAUCCCGUGAGGGAUGAUCGAAAGCCGGCUCAUAUCGGAGAAACCUGCCGCCCGGCGGGCGGGUCUGCAGGUAACUCCGAGGGAAGUCGCCCAUCCUAUUGGGUUGACCCCGUAACGACUGACCCGAAAGGGGAGGCGCACUGCUCUCCGGUGCGCAAUACGCCGGCUCUCACCCACAGCAAUGUGUACGGGGCUACUAUGGAGACAUCCUUUGAGAAAGGAGAGCUUGUGAAACUUCAUCCGUGGUAUGUCACGGGAAUCGUGGAAGGAGAAGGUUCUUUCAUGGUCAGUUUCAACCGCCGCCAGAAAUUGAAGGUCGGCAUCGAAACCAGACCGGCUUUCUCUCUUUCACUGAACCAACGUGACCUCAACCUCUUGAAGGAUAUUCAAGCAUUUUUUCACUGCGGCGCUAUUCGAUAUAGCAAAGCAGACCGCACGUACAAGUACGAAGUGCGCAGUGUGGCAGAUUUAGCCAAAAAAAUCCUGCCUCAUUUUCAGAAGUACCCCCUGGCUGGAGCCAAAGGCCAGGACUUCGAAAAGUUCGCCGAAAUCGUCCGUCUGGUUCAUGCCAGGCAACAUCUCAACGGUGAGGUGCUAAAACAGAUUAUCCAUCUGGCUUACAGCAUGAACCUGAGCGGGAAACGACGAAUAGCAAAGGAUGAACUCCUAAGGUGGCUCGGUGAGAUGAAGGUAUAGUCUGCGCUCUAUGGCAACAUAGAGGAAAAGCGAAGUUCCGACCCGCACGAACGGUGUAACAACUAGAGCACUGUCUCGACGAAGGACCCGGUGAAAUUGAAAUGGCUGUGAAGAUGCGGCCUACCCGCAGCAGGACAAAAAGACCCCGUGGAGCUUUACUGCAGCUUGGCAUUGAGUUUGGGCUCGGUCUGUGUAGGAUAGGUGGGAGGCUUUGAAGCUGGGGCGCCAGCCUCGGUGGAGCCGUCGGUGAAAUACCACCCUGAUCGUGUCUAGACCCUAACCCCACGCCGUAAUCCGGGUGGGGGACCGUGCCAGGUGGGCAGUUUGACUGGGGCGGUCGCCUCCUAAAAGGUAACGGAGGCGCCCAAAGGUUCCCUCAGGCUGAAUGGAAACCAGCCGGAGAGUGCAAAGGCAUAAGGGAGCUUGACUGCAAGACCAACGCGUCGAGCAGAGACGAAAGUCGGGCUUAGUGAUCCCACAGUACCGAGUGGAAGGGCUGUGGCUUACCGGAUAAAAGCUACCCCGGGGAUAACAGGCUGGUGAGGUCCAAGAGUUCACAUCGACGACCUCGCUCGGCACCUCGAUGUCGGCUCAUCGCAUCCUGGGGCUUGGACAAGGUCCCAAGGGUCGGGCUGUUCGCCCGUUAAAGCGGUACGCGAGCUGGGUUCAGACCGUCGUGAGACAGGUCGGUCUCUAUCCGCUGUGGGCGUAAGGGAUUUGAGAGGAGCUGCCCCUAGUACGAGAGGACCGGGGUGGACAGACCUCUGGUGUGCCAGCUGUCGUGCCAACGGCAUCGCUGGGUAGCUAUGUCUGGCAGAGAUAACCGCUGAAAGCAUCUAAGUGGGAAACUCGCCUCAAGAUGAGAUCCCUCACGACGUCAAGUCGGUAAGACCGCAGGAAGACUACCUGCUUGAUAGGCGGCAAGUGUAAGCACAGUAAUGUGUUGAGCUAAGCCGUACUAAUGGUCGAGGGCUUUCCCGU
This 3718-nucleotide ribosomal RNA is filed under the name Anaerolineae bacterium. RNAcentral describes it as "bacterial LSU rRNA". It matches the Rfam family "Bacterial large subunit ribosomal RNA". Lineage: Bacteria; Bacillati; Chloroflexota; Anaerolineae. The record is from RNAcentral.